RNAcentral lists this ribosomal RNA (337 nucleotides) under uncultured Pseudomonadota bacterium. Its description in RNAcentral is "bacterial SSU rRNA". It matches the Rfam family "Bacterial small subunit ribosomal RNA", at positions 29 to 351 of the family's 1533-position model. The record is from RNAcentral. Lineage: Bacteria; Pseudomonadati; Pseudomonadota.
AACGAACGUUAGCGGCGCGCCUAACACAUGCAAGUCGAGCGAGAAAGGGCUUCGGCCCCGGUACAGCGGCGCACGGGUGAGUAACACGUAGGUAAUCUACCCUCAGGUGGAGGAUAACCUUCCGAAAGGAGGGCUAAUACUGCAUGAGACCACGAUCCCGAAAGGGAAUGAGGUCAAAGCCGGCCUCUUUACAAAAGCUGGCGCCAGAGGAUGAGCCUGCGGCCCAUCAGCUAGUUGGUAGGGUAAUGGCCUACCAAGGCGAAGACGGGUAGCUGGUCUGAGAGGAUGAUCAGCCACACUGGAACUGAGACACGGUCCAGACUCCUACGGGAGGCAG